Diceros bicornis minor is the source of this 1522-nucleotide long non-coding RNA. RefSeq lists it as uncharacterized. The transcript has 5 exons. The record is from RefSeq and is a predicted model, not a curated record. Lineage: Eukaryota; Metazoa; Chordata; Mammalia; Perissodactyla; Rhinocerotidae.
GUGAAGGGAGGAAGAAUUGAGGGGAGGCUGCUGAGGAUCCUAGGCUGCUCCUCGUGGGAACCCUGUGGUGGGCCAGGUGGCUGAGGGUGGGGACUUUUCAGGAGAGGGUCUACAUGGGCUCUACUUGAGAGCAAGGGCUCAUCCCACCCGCACCCCGAUGUCACAGGGUGUCUUCCCCUAUCUUGGCAAUCUGCUCAGUGACCUGCUGAUGCUGCAACUGGCGAUGGUUGACUAUCUCGAGGGGAAUGAGAUCAACCUUGAGAAGAGGACUGAGGAGCAGCUGUGGCACUCCCUGCAGGGGAGGGGAAAGAGGAAUACCGAGUCAUGAGGAAGAUCCUGCUGCUCCAGGAGGCUGCCAAGAAUUACAACCUAGAACCCGAGGGAGCGAUUUGCGGCCUGGCUCCAGGACAUGCAGUUGCUCAACGAGAAUGAGAGGUCAAAGACCAAGGGAAGAGGUCAUCAAGAGGUCAAGUCUAAUCUACCUAUGGAUGUGGCAGCCUUAACUAUGGAUGUUCAAACCAGACAUUGCCAGCAGAACCACAUCUCUUCACCCAUAGGGCAACAACAUUAUGUUCCCCAGUCUCUGUACUGUAUGUUACUGCACAGCACGGACUGUAAGAGAAAGCCCAGAGAAGCAAUGAAGACAAAGAAGACAUGACACCUGCAAAAAGUCAGUGGAGUAUUUCUACAUAACAAACCUUCCAGGUGAGUGAUGGUCAGUAUCUUCCACUGCUCCAGCUCUCCCAAGAAACCUAGAACCUCCCCAGGGUAAGCUGGAGGACCAUGCCCGACUAAUCCACUCCCUGCAUGGGGCCGGUUUGUGCAGGGUGACUGCCAUCAAGCAGAAAAUGGACUCAGGAUGGGGCGUGUGCCUUUGGAGAGGCUGGCAGAGAGGCACAAAGUGGAACACCAGCUAAGUGCACACACCUGAGAGGCGGAGUUCCAGGUGGAGACUCAAAAUGUACCAAGAAACUGUGUGAAGUGAAGGAAGCUACUCAACCUCUCUGAGCCUCAGUGUCCCCCCCCUGUAAAAUGGGGAUCACAGGCCUACUUCACAGAGCUGUUGGGGAAGAUACAUAAAAGUGUCUGUUAGAAUCAGUGUCACAUUAUUAACAAAGUCGUCUCUGACUUCAGAAAAUCGAUGAAAAGAAUAAUGUUGAUGACCAAAGAUGAGAUGCCCAGCUUCGUAAGCAGCCCCAGCAGCACGAGAAUGAGAGGAGCUCCGACUAAGCAGGGUUCUUCACAGCUCCACUGGAGAGGAUAAACAUGGGCUACACCAGGAUAAGGGGCUGUUGUACAGUGACUUGUGUAGUGAGAGUGGGUCCCUAAAGACACUGUGAAAUAGAGUUACACACAGUGGCUCCUAGGAAACAACUACAAAGCAAUCAACACAGCGGAUAGGCGUGGGAAUGGGGCAAGCAGAGGAGGGUCAGAGCGACAAAAUCUGAUGGAAGACACUGAACCACGAUGAGUUCCCAGCUCUGUCAACAGCUGCUGUGGUUGCGCCAGGAGAUCAAACGCC